UUUAUAUUAAUUAAAGGGAAAGGCUUAGUACCGUUUAUGGCACAAUUAAUAUCUUGGAUAUUUAUCGAG
This 69-nucleotide transfer RNA is filed under the name Trilophidia annulata. RNAcentral describes it as "tRNA-Asn". Lineage: Eukaryota; Metazoa; Arthropoda; Insecta; Orthoptera; Acrididae. The record is from RNAcentral.